CAGCCGCCGCGGUAAUACAAAGGAUGCAAGCGUUAUCCGGAAUGAUUGGGCGUAAAGCGUCUGUAGGUGGCUUUUCAAGUCCACCGUCAAAUCCCAGGGCUCAACCCUGGACAGGCGGUGGAAACUACCAAGCUAGAGUAUGGUAGGGGCAGAGGGAAUUUCCGGUGGAGCGGUGAAAUGCGUAGAUAUUAGGAAGAACACCAGUGGCGAAGGCGACUUUCUGGACGAAAACUGACGCUGAGGCGCGAAAGCCAGGGGAGCGAACGGGAUUAGAGACCCGAGUAGUCCCUGUCUCUUAUAC
RNAcentral lists this ribosomal RNA (301 nucleotides) under uncultured bacterium. RNAcentral's name for it is "partial 16S ribosomal RNA". It matches the Rfam family "Bacterial small subunit ribosomal RNA", at positions 509 to 807 of the family's 1533-position model. The record is from RNAcentral.